This 1152-nucleotide long non-coding RNA is filed under the name Ovis aries (sheep). RNAcentral's name for it is "lncRNA (ENSOARG00000025263.1)". The record is from RNAcentral. Lineage: Eukaryota; Metazoa; Chordata; Mammalia; Artiodactyla; Bovidae.
AUGCCUACAUUAUCCCACAUACAACAUCAUAGACAAUGUUACCAACUCCAGGUUAUUUUCAGAGCCAUCACCAUUCACCCAGGUCCUCAGAUUGGAAAGCUAGGAGUCACCCUUGACUCCCCUCUUUCCCCCCACUUUCCAGACCCAGCCUGUCAGCAUGUUCUCUUGGCUCCAAAUCUGUUGGCCUGUCUCUGUUUUGAAGACCAUCAUUCCAGAUUCCAUUACUACCCCUGCCUCAGUAGUCUCCUAACAGGUGUCUCCACUUCUGCUUUGUCCCUUUCAGUCUAUUCUGCGAUGUGGGCUAACCUUGAAAAAAUUUCAGUCGAAGAGAAGAGGGAACUUGCAGAAAUCCAUCCUGUGAUGUCCACAAAAUCUGUAGAUAACCCCCGUCUCCCACACACUUUCUGGUCAAGUUUUUAAUGAUCCCUGAAUCCAUAAGGCAGAGUUUCCUUCAUUUGAGAACCAAAAUCCUGGGAUGAAAGAAGUAAAUUUCCUGACACUGAGAAUACUAGAUAUUUGAUGGUCAAGAUUAUCUAAGAGCUUCCCAGAUUGCCGGGAGCCACCACGGGAGAUCCCACCCAUGACAAGGUCAUGUGGAAGAGAACUGUUAACCAAGGCUUCAGAACUCAACGGGCUCCCUAGGCUUUCUCGAGCAUCUACCCCCCAAACCAGAAUCUGUCUGUUUUACUAUUUCAUGACUUUCACCAACUCCUCUAACAUUAACACGGGGCUAUUCCUGACCACCUUUCUCUGGAAAAAAUUAACUUAGGGCUACAGCUAAUAAGUCUCCUGGACAUGAGAAAAAUAUUUCCAAUCAAAACCCCUCUGUUAGCAUUUUAGCUUGCUUGACAGAUAUAUCCAGACUCUUACAGCUACACAUGUGAUUAUUUAUAUCUUCCCAACUGUGAGAGGCACAGAAAGCCUAAAACAUAGAGCCUUUCAAAGAGUUAAAAGUUAUUAGAGUAGUGCUAGUGUAGGAUUUCAUUAUUGGGCUGAUGCUUGUUGCUAAGUUCCCGUAUCUUUUAUCCACUGUGCCCCUGGGAGUGCAUUAGUUAACAUAGUUGGAAAGUAAGAAAAACAAGUGUAGCCUUGAAAUUAACCACAUCAGACUUUUGAGCUAAUUGGUUCUUUCUUGUAACUCACUGCACCUUU